This 323-nucleotide ribosomal RNA is filed under the name uncultured Lactobacillus sp. Its description in RNAcentral is "bacterial SSU rRNA". It matches the Rfam family "Bacterial small subunit ribosomal RNA", at positions 374 to 691 of the family's 1533-position model. Lineage: Bacteria; Bacillati; Bacillota; Bacilli; Lactobacillales; Lactobacillaceae. The record is from RNAcentral.
AGUAACAAAUUUGAAGCUACACGCCGCGUGAGUGAAGAAGGGUUUCGGCUCGUAAAGCUCUGUUGGUAGUGAAGAAAGAUAGAGGAAAAACUGGGCUUUAUUUGACGGUAAUUACUUAUAAAGUCACGGCUAACUACGUGCCAGCAGCCGCGGUAAUACGUAGGUGGCAAGCGUUGUCCGGAUUUAUUGGGCGUAAAGCGAGUGCAGGCGGUUCAAUAAGUCUGAUGUGAAAGCCUUCGGCUCAACCGGAGAAUUGCAUCAGAAACUGUUGAACUUGAGUGCAGAAGAGGAGAGUGGAACUCCAUGUGUAGCGGUGAAAUCAU